AGUGAACGCUGGCGGUGGGCCUAACACAUGCAAGUCGAACGAAAACACAGUAAGAGCUUGCCCUCACGGGUGGCGGGUGGCGGACGGGUGAGGAAUACAUAGGAAUCUAAUUUUUCGGGGGGGAUAACGGAGAGAAACUUACGAUAAUACCUAAUACGACCUACGGGUGGAAUCAGGGGAGCAUGGGACCUUGCGCGAUUGAAUGAGCCGGUGUCGGAUUAGCUAGUUGGGUGGGUAAGGGCCCACCAAGGCAACGAUCCGUAGCUGAUCUGAGAGGAUGAUCGGCCACACUGGAACUGAGACACGGUCCAGACUCCUACGGGAGGCAGCAGUAGGGAAUAUUCCGCAAUGGGCGAAAGCCUGACCCAGCAACACCGCGUGAGUGAUGAAGGCCUUCGGAUCGUAAAGCUCUGUUAUUAGGGAAGAACAACCGUGUAAGAAACUGCGCCCGUCUUGACGGUACCUAAUCAGAAAGCCCCGGCUAACUACGUG
RNAcentral lists this ribosomal RNA (492 nucleotides) under uncultured bacterium. RNAcentral's name for it is "partial 16S ribosomal RNA". It matches the Rfam family "Bacterial small subunit ribosomal RNA", at positions 29 to 507 of the family's 1533-position model. The record is from RNAcentral.